CUCAGGAUGAACGCUGGCGGUCUGCUUAACACAUGCAAGUCGAACGCAACCUUCGGGUUGAGUGGCGGACGGGUGAGUAACGCGUGAGAAUCUGCCUUGGGGUCGGGGACAACCACUGGAAACGGUGGCUAAUACCGGAUAAGCCUUUGGGUAAAAGAUUUAUUGCCCCAAGAGGAGCUCGCGUCUGAUUAGCUAGUUGGUGAGGUAAAAGCUCACCAAGGCAGCGAUCAGUAGCUGGUCUGAGAGGACGAUCAGCCACACUGGGACUGAGACACGGCCCAGACUCCUACGGGAGGCAGCAGUGGGGAAUUUUCCGCAAUGGGCGAAAGCCUGACGGAGCAAGACCGCGUGAGGGAGGAAGGCUCUUGGGUUGUAAACCUCUUUUCUCAGGGAAGAAGCUCUGACGGUACCUGAGGAAUCAGCCUCGGCUAACUCCGUGCCAGCAGCCGCGGUAAUACGGAGGAGGCAAGCGUUAUCCGGAAUUAUUGGGCGUAAAGCGUCCGCAGGUGGCGAUUCAAGUCUGCUGUCAAAGCACGGGGCUUAACUCCGUUAAGGCAGUGGAAACUGAAUAGCUAGAGUGCCGUAGGGGUAGAGGGAAUUCCCGGUGUAGCGGUGAAAUGCGUAGAGAUCGGGAAGAACAUCGGUGGCGAAAGCGCUCUACUGGACGGCAACUGACACUCAGGGACGAAAGCUAGGGGAGCGAAUGGGAUUAGAUACCCCAGUAGUCCUAGCUGUAAACGAUGGAUACUAGGUGUAGCUUGUAUCGACCCGAGCUGUGCCGAAGCUAACGCGUUAAGUAUCCCGCCUGGGGAGUACGCACGCAAGUGUGAAACUCAAAGGAAUUGACGGGGGCCCGCACAAGCGGUGGAGUAUGUGGUUUAAUUCGAUGCAACGCGAAGAACCUUACCAGGGCUUGACCUGUCCGGAAUCCCGGUGAAAGCUGGGAGU
This 948-nucleotide ribosomal RNA is filed under the name uncultured organism. RNAcentral's name for it is "bacterial SSU rRNA". It matches the Rfam family "Bacterial small subunit ribosomal RNA", at positions 23 to 1015 of the family's 1533-position model. The record is from RNAcentral.